UUUUCUUUGCAAAACUGUCCUACAGUGAACAUAGCACUCAACGUUCUUUCAUGCAGAUAAGGUUGGUGCAGCGCCAGAAACAAUUUUGUUGAGGGUUUAGUAACAUACACUAUUGAACUAAUGCAGUUAGAUUCAGAUUUUUUAGAGAGCAACGAGACCCAAAAUAGAAACACUUUAUGAUGUUACAUCAUAUAUGUGCACAUCUUAUCAGCUGUCGUUUACUUAAAUCAGGCAUCAUUUAACCCUUUGAGGGACAGCGGUUAUGACAGUGGACAGCUUAUCAUGCAGAGAAAAGCCACGUGAGGACAAAACUUAUUUGUGUUUGAAUUAUUUCCGAUGGUAAAGAAUUUCCAUGGAACGAAUUGCGUUUGACUGCAAUUCAUUUCAACAUGAGCCUUUUGGCUUGUAAGGAGGACAUUUGAAGCCAUUGUCAAGUACAUUGUCAAAAUCAUUUUGUGAAACUUGCAGGCGGCGCCGAAGCUGUCCUAGGGUUUUGGUUUUCAUUUGUGGCUCACAUACUGUAUCCACUCGAUAGCUUCUCCCUUGCCGGACAAGAGGUCAGGGGGCCUUGACCUGUCAUAGAGACUCAACUUUCCAAGUCCAGAUGGUUCCACGAGAAAUCACUAGAGCUCGGGUUCAGUUUGCAGUCUUGCAGUUGUCUCACAUAUGGUGCAUACCUGUCAACUACUGUAUGCUGGGCUUGUUAAUUAACCAAUAUGUUCAAGCCGUGGACUGCUGAGUCCGUGUUUUCAUCCGCCUCCUCACAGUGAGGGAUUGAGUGACUGGCGUUGACAAAAAUAAAAAAAUAAAAA
Long non-coding RNA from Hippocampus zosterae (dwarf seahorse), 812 nucleotides. RefSeq lists it as uncharacterized. The transcript has 3 exons. Lineage: Eukaryota; Metazoa; Chordata; Actinopteri; Syngnathiformes; Syngnathidae. The record is from RefSeq and is a predicted model, not a curated record.